This 380-nucleotide ribosomal RNA is filed under the name Melanotus sakishimensis. RNAcentral describes it as "partial small subunit ribosomal RNA". Lineage: Eukaryota; Metazoa; Arthropoda; Insecta; Coleoptera; Elateridae. The record is from RNAcentral.
AUUAAAGAUUUUGGCGGUAUUUUAGUCCAUUCAGAGGAACCUGUCCUGUAAUUGAUAAUCCACGAUUUAAUUUACUUAUUUUUUUAGUUUGUAUAUCGUCGUGGGUUGAAUAUUUUAUAAGAAUUUUAAUGUUCAAUAAAUAUAAAUUUAUUUUAUGUCAGAUCAAGGUGCAGCUUAUGAAUAAGAAGAGAUGGGUUACAAUAAAAUUAUUUUUGGUUUAUUAGCUUUAAUGUUUUUAGUAAAUUGGAUUUGAAUGUAAUAUUUUUAAAUUUAUAGAUGUGAUUUUGGCUCUAAAAUAUGCACAUAUUGCCCGUCGCUCUCAUUUAAUAUGAGAUAAGUCGUAACAAAGUAGAUGUACUGGAAAGUGUAUCUAGAAAGAU